GCCAUGUUCGUCUAUCGGCUAGGACACCUCCCUUUCACGGAGGAGAGACGGGUUCGAUUCCCGUACGUGGUAC
This 73-nucleotide transfer RNA is filed under the name Filimonas zeae. Its description in RNAcentral is "tRNA-Glu". It matches the Rfam family "tRNA". Rfam says of the family: Transfer RNA (tRNA) molecules are approximately 80 nucleotides in length. Their secondary structure includes four short double-helical elements and three loops (D, anti-codon, and T loops). Further hydrogen bonds mediate the characteristic L-shaped molecular structure. tRNAs have two regions of fundamental functional importance: the anti-codon, which is responsible for specific mRNA codon recognition, and the 3' end, to which the tRNAs corresponding amino acid is attached (by aminoacyl-tRNA synthetases). tRNAs cope with the degeneracy of the genetic code in two manners: having more than one tRNA (with a specific anti-codon) for a particular amino acid; and 'wobble' base-pairing, i.e. permitting non-standard base-pairing at the 3rd anti-codon position. The record is from RNAcentral. Lineage: Bacteria; Pseudomonadati; Bacteroidota; Chitinophagia; Chitinophagales; Chitinophagaceae.